This 432-nucleotide unclassified non-coding RNA is filed under the name soil metagenome. Its description in RNAcentral is "partial contains 5.8S ribosomal RNA, internal transcribed spacer 2, and large subunit ribosomal RNA". The stretch from base 1 to 120 matches the Rfam family "5.8S ribosomal RNA", at positions 35 to 154 of the family's 154-position model. The record is from RNAcentral.
GAUGAAGAACGUAGCGAAAUGCGAUACGUAAUGUGAAUUGCAGAAUUCAGUGAAUCAUCGAAUCUUUGAACGCAUAUUGCGCUCUCUGGUAUUCCGGAGAGCAUGCUUGUUUGAGUAUCAGUAAACACCUCAACUUCCAUUUCUUUUUUGAAAUGGGAGUUGGACUUGAGUGAUCCCAACGCUUUUCCUCACCGAAAAGUGGCGGGUUACUUGAAAUGCAGGUGCAGCUGGACUUUUCUCUGAGCUAUAAGCAUAUCUAUUUAGUCUGCCUAAAAAACAGAUUAUUACCUUUGCUGCAGCUAACAUAAAGGAGAUUAGUUCUUGUGCUGACUGAUGCAGGAUUCACAAAGACAGCUUCGGCCGACUUUGUAAACUCGAUCUCAAAUCAAGUAAGACUACCCGCUGAACUUAAGCAUAUCAAUAAGCGGAGGA